CAACCUGCCCACCACUUGGGGAUAACCUUGCGAAAGUAAGACUAAUACCCAAUGAUAUCUCUAGAAGACAUCUGAAAGAGAUUAAAGAUUUAUCGGUGAUGGAUGGGGAUGCGUCUGAUUAGCUUGUUGGCGGGGUAACGGCCCACCAAGGCGACGAUCAGUAGGGGUUCUGAGAGGAAGGUCCCCCACAUUGGAACUGAGACACGGUCCAAACUCCUACGGGAGGCAGCAGUGAGGAAUAUUGGUCAAUGGACGAGAGUCUGAACCAGCCAAGUAGCGUGCAGGAUGACGGCCCUAUGGGUUGUAAACUGCUUUUAUAAGGGAAUAAAGUGAGUCUCGUGAGACUUUUUGCAUGUACCUUAUGAAUAAGGACCGGCUAAUUCCGUGCCAGCAGCCGCGGUAAUACGGAAGGUCCGGGCGUUAUCCGGAUUUAUUGGGUUUAAAGGGAGCGUAGGCCGGAGAUUAAGCGUGUUGUGAAAUGUAGAUGCUCAACAUCUGCACUGCAGCGCGAACUGGUUUCCUUGAGUACGCACAAAGUGGGCGGAAUUCGCGGUGUAGCGGUGAAAUGCUUAGAUAUCACGAAGAACUCCGAUUG
RNAcentral lists this ribosomal RNA (595 nucleotides) under uncultured Bacteroidota bacterium. RNAcentral describes it as "bacterial SSU rRNA". It matches the Rfam family "Bacterial small subunit ribosomal RNA", at positions 122 to 715 of the family's 1533-position model. Lineage: Bacteria; Pseudomonadati; Bacteroidota. The record is from RNAcentral.